This 203-nucleotide long non-coding RNA is filed under the name Elaeis guineensis (African oil palm). RNAcentral's name for it is "long non-coding RNA (EGUI_LNC041597)". Lineage: Eukaryota; Viridiplantae; Streptophyta; Magnoliopsida; Arecales; Arecaceae. The record is from RNAcentral.
AUGAUUACUAUCACUAGAUAUGAAAUCCAUAGGCUGCCCCAUAUAUAUAUCUUCUUUGAGAUAUCUAUUUAGGAAGACAGUUUUUGAAAGAAACAUACGACAGUACUAUGCAUGCAAUGUUAAAAUUUUAUUCAGCAGAACUAUUAGAUUAAAUAAUUUAAUCUAUUUUUCAUACAUAAGAUCUAAUCUAAACUACCAUGCCA